Long non-coding RNA from Dunckerocampus dactyliophorus (ringed pipefish), 5118 nucleotides. RefSeq lists it as uncharacterized. Lineage: Eukaryota; Metazoa; Chordata; Actinopteri; Syngnathiformes; Syngnathidae. The record is from RefSeq and is a predicted model, not a curated record. The transcript is spliced from 6 exons.
UUGCUCACGGCUUUUAUUGCAUGUUUAAAUGAUCUCACAACAGGCAAAAUAACGGUUACCGUUGCGGCCACACCCCACAACAAGCUAAAACCACUGAACUCUAUAACUGGAAUGGCCCCGAUCGUUUGCUGCGCAUUGGAGGAUUGAAGCCACCGGAAGUAUAGAACUCGCCAUGUUUUUUCACCCAAAAAAAGAAAGCCUCAGAACUAAGAGGAGUUCGAGAUGCCGUCUUGUGCUGCUAUUAAUUACACAAAUUGUGAAAAUCGCGAGAAGGGACUUACAUUUCACAGAUUUCCACACUGCUCAACUUCUAAAGCAAUGGGUAGUAAAUAUGCGGAGAGACAGGUGGAUUCCUGCAGCCAGAUCGCAACUCUGUUGUAGUCAUUUCCCCGAGGAGAACUUCGACAGGACCAGCCAGACUGUUCGAUUACGACAAAAUGCAGUUCCAACAAUAUUUGACUUUCCUGAUCAUCUUCUAAAGCAAGAUGGCCGACCAAUGGCUUCAUGCGGUCAGCAGGGACGCCCCUUCCAGUAGUAUAGAGUUCAGUGGCUAAAACAACUCUGAAACCCCGAUGUCACUUCCUGUCCGCCACUGAUUCUGCUCCCCUACAAGGCACUAUCAGGAAGGAGUGCAAAGAAAUCAGACGGAAGACACCUGGUCGAGUGUUUGGCCACAGGCGCACGUGAAGGGGCUUCGGUACCAACAGUCUUUACAAUACUCAUUGGCACAAUAUCUGCACAGGACCAUGGGCUUUCUGGUGCACGGCCGCCCACAGCCGCAGCGAGCCAGUUCUUUGAGCUUGUGCUGGAUUUGGCACAAGCUGAUGCCGUCGCAGGACGCAGCGUGGAAAACUCGGCAGUUGAGACACGCCAGCUGGGGGUCGGGGCGGGUGAGGUCGCAGCAGUCGUGGUAGCUGAUUGGUUGGUGAAUGAGGCUCAGUGACUUGGGCUUAUCGUACAGAGACAAAGCCGACAUCGCCGUGCUGCUGCUGAGGGUCGGCGAUACGUUGGACGCCGCCGCCACUUCUUUCAUCUUGACCGGGAGCCGCACUUGGUGGCCUUCGCGGGAGCACCGCAGAAGCGUGGCGCAGGAGGUGUCGUGGAAAGCGUCGCAGUCGACGCACUGGUUCAGGUGGAGGCGAGGGGAGCGGAGGCAACUGCAAACUCUGCUGCUUUCCGCCUCUAUCCUAUCAGCUUGCAGACUGCGAGGUUGGAGGUCCGCAUCAACAGACUCCUCGAUGUGCCGGCCCACACUGGAUGAGGAGCGUCCGAACGGUUCCGACUCGGACGCGCUAGCGAGCUGGCAGUUGAGUGUGGAGAUGCAAAUGUGUUCUCUGGAGGAUGGGAAGGACAGGGGACCGUUGUUGCGGACAGCCCGCGCCGGCAUGUGGGGGCUGUCGUCGUCAUGAACGACCGUCACCCUCUGUCCCCCGUUAACCUGCUUGUCUGUGUACAGAUCCACAUCUGAUUCCCCAUCAGACUCCAUCAGCGGCUGUUUGACUCCCAUCGUCCUCUUCGUGUUGUCCAGCGCCACCUAGUAUGGUGACACACAUUUUUCAUCAGCGCAUCUUUCAAGUCACAUUCAAGCAAACUUUGUGGUCCGAAGGAUACAGUAUGAAAAACACGUGUGCAUUAUAGUUCCUAACAUAUACGCCAUAAGUUGUAAUGAUAUAGAAGAGGGGUGUCCAAAGUGCGGCCCGCAGCUGUUUUUAUCGGCCUGCCACACAUUCUAAAAAAUCUAAUUUAACAUAAAAACUUAAAAAAAAAAACUGGGAAAAAAUUGAAAAAUCGGCAGUAAUUUUAGAGAUUAAAAAAAAGUUGUCAUCGAAUGUGAAAAUUUCAUAAUUUUAUGAGAAAAACCUAAUUAAAUAUUGAAAUAUUAAUACUACAUAAUGGUAAUAGUUUAAUUUAUUUUGAACGUGCCUAUAAGUUACAUUGGAAUACAAUUCAUAGUUCCACUUGUCCACAAAGGAGUAGGAAGAAGCAAAGCUUAUUUAAUCCUAUACAAAAUCCAAUAUUAAAGAAAAAAAGAUGUUUUUUUUAAAGUCACCAUUAUGAGAAACAAACAACGAAACAUUACAACAAAGUUGUAAUGUUUUGGAAAAUUCAUUUGCAGAAAGAGUUCUAAUGUUACGAGAAUAAAGUAAAAACAUGAUGGAAAUAAAGUCAUAAUCACAAGAAAAAAUUGAAAAGAAGAAAGCUGAAAGAGUUGGGGAACCCCCCCCCAGCAGAAAUAGAAAAAAACUGCUGUAAUUUUACGAGAAUAAAGUGAAAAUGUUAAAAGAAAAAAAGUCAUAAUCUAAUGAGAAACUAAACAAAAUAACAUUGUAAUUUUUGGAAAAUUAGGUUGGGAAAAAUGUUAUAAUAUCAUGGGAAUAAAGUCAAAAUAUGGGAAUAAAAUCAUAAUCAUGAGAAGAAAAAGUUGAAAAAAGAAAGUUAAAAUAGUUGGAAAAAAAACCCCAGCAGAAAUGGAACAAACAGCUGUCAUUGUAUGAGAAUAAAGUCAAAAUACAAAUAUAUAGAUAUAAAUGUAAAAGACAAAAAUGUAUUCUAAUGGGAAAGAAUGUCGCAAAAAUGAGAAAUAACCUUGUAAUAUGUAGAAAAAUAAUGUCUUUUAGUAGUUUAAAAAGUUGAUCUAUGAGGGAAAAAGAAAAAAAGAAAUAAAUAAUAAGAGGCUUUUCCACCUACAUGACAAAGAUGAGAUGCAGCUUUUUUUCUUCAAAUUUAUGGAACUUCUUCUCCUAUGAUUCUAGCAUAUCUACAUGUGUUGCUUUCCAAAAUGUCAAAGUUGCAUUCUUUCAUUUUUCACGAUGUGGCCCUUGCCCUUUGGACACCUGUGUAGAAUACAAUAGAAUAGAAUAGAAUAGAAUAAAAUAGAAUCUCUGCCUUAUGUUUAUUAUUGUGGUUGCAGUUUGCAGUGACACUGUAUCACUCGUUUCUAAUAAUUCAAAUUUUCCACAAUUCCGGAAAUGAAUGCAUCAUUUUUACACGUGUGGAUUUCUGAAACGAUUCAAAAUGUUCAGGCGCUCGUCUUUCAUCUGUCUAGUUUUUCCCCACGUUCCAAAAAUUCCACAAACUCCCCCGUUUUCCCCACCCAAAAAUUUUAGGUAAGUACUUAACACACAACAACAAUGAAGUAGCAUUCUGUGUGCGUAACGACGGCUACGCGCAAACAACAAACACGUCAUUUUAACAGUUAUUCACAAAGCGCCUACAAGGCAUGCUGGGUACUGUAGUGUUGGGUACUCCCCUCAAUACUACAUUACUACAUUAUAGUGAGAUAUUAGAUCUGCAAUAUAUGGAGCCCAGGACACAUCAUAGAUGUUUUUUUUUUUUAAAUUGCCCGUGCAUGUUUGUGUGUUUGAAACUGUAAUUUGUAACUUCAUGUUCUGUUGUUCAAUAAGGGGUUUAAAAAACAUGAUAAAGCUGCGGAUUUCUUAUGACACAAACCAAAAAGCUCCAUUUUACCUGUCCACACACAGACACCGAAUUCUGCGUCAUUGGCAAUUAUGCAAAUUAGAUGAAACUCGUUCCCCGGAAGAAAUGAAUUGCGGCAAACCUUGAGGCUAUGUCCGCGCUGUCUCUCCCUGACCACACACAGCUCCCACUGGGCAUCACCGCCGCCCUUCUCCAGGGCUGCCAGGAGAAGUCGGCACUCGCAGCGUGCCAGGAAGAAGGCGCAGGACAGGCGGAGGAGAUCCUCCAACACGUUUGGGCCGACUCUGAGGGACUGGAGCUGAAGCUGCUCCCGCCGCGUGGAGUACUGGUAUCCCAGCAAACCAAAAAGCUUCUCAAUCUGGGUGGCGGACAGCACGGGUUUGAUGUAGUGCGUGAACAUGCCGGAGUACAUCUGGGAGAAGAGAGAAGCAAAUGUUAUUCAGGAAAAUACUGUAUAAAGCACUUUUUUUUUUUAAUCCAUCAUCAACCUUGACUUCUUUGUACUCCUCCCUCCAGGGUCCAAGGUACAGGUUGAGAGCAGCUUGUUCCAGAACCUCAAAUGCUUUCCCUAGACCUUGCAAGCCUCCUCUUGCUUUCACGUGUUUGCCGCUACUUGCUCUCUGUGUUUUUGUUGAUGCGGCUUCCAUUCUGAGCGACUCUUCCAUCACCUUGAGAGUCUCCAGGCCCAAGCAGUGUGCUUGUUGAGCAUUCUCCUCCCUGAGUAACUCCUCCGCCUGCUUCCACAGCUCUUCAUUUCCACACGCCAGCAUCAGGCUAAACUCAUCUGAUGGCAGGCCGUCAAAGAAAAGGAAAGUGAAAGUGAAAUUAGACAUGGUUCAGAAAGUGGAGAAAUCAACACUGCCUCAAGAAGAAGGACGCCACACGGCUGGACAAACUUUUGAGGAAGGCAGGCUCUGUCAUUGGCACUGAGCUGGACAGCCUGACAUCUAUGGCAGAGCAAAGAACACCGAGGAGGCUCCUUUCCAUCAUGGACAACCAGCAUCAUCUCCCAACAGAAGAGACGUUCAAGUGGCAGAUUACUAUCACUGUCCUGCUCAACCGGAAGACUGAGCAGAUCAUUCCUCCCCCAUGCCAUGCAGCUUUUCAACACAACAGAGGGGGAGCAGUACAAACACACACAGGACUGGACUUACUACUUACUUACUGGAUUACAUUAUCACAAAUAAUUAUUAUUAUGUAUUAUUAUUAUUAUGUAUUGGAGUGAACUGUUCCGUAUUAUUGAUUUAUUCUUAUUCUAUUUUCUUAUUUUUCUUAUCUUGCCUGUCUUGCUUUGAUUAUUUAUUCUGAUUUUUUGGAGAAAUGUUCAAAAUGUGAAUUUCUCUUGGAGAUUACCUUAACACUGCACACGGUUUAUAGUGUCAUUAUUUUAGCUGAUAUUUUCUUCUGAUUUUUUAUUUAUUUUUUAAAUACCAUUCUUUCCUUUCAUACAAAAGUGGGGAAAAAAUGAUUGACAAAUGUCGGAAAAUAAUAUAUUGUAAGUGUCAACAAGUAAAAGCUAUGAUAUUAAUGAAUUAUCAGUAAUAGACAUUUGGAAAUGGGAGGAUUAAAUACCUUCCUACUCCUUGUCAGACAUGUUGAACUGUGCUAAUGUAACCAUGUGAUGAUGUUCCUUUAUCGAACUUGUUACGCACGUCUGAAACAAACAUAUCAUAUAGCAUA